This is a ribosomal RNA of Chelonoidis abingdonii (Abingdon island giant tortoise), 118 nucleotides long. The record is from Ensembl. NCBI's taxonomy places the organism in Eukaryota, Metazoa, Chordata, Testudines, Testudinidae.
CAUUGCUUCCACACAACCUCAGGCUAUGAUCCCAUCAGACAUCACAAAGCUCAGCAAGGUCAGGUCUUGUCAGUGUUUAGAUGGGAGACUCCCAAGGAAAACUCAAGUGUUGCAGAGG